Molecule: ribosomal RNA, 457 nt
Filed under: uncultured marine eukaryote
Lineage: Eukaryota
Description: SSU rRNA
Rfam family: Eukaryotic small subunit ribosomal RNA
Source: RNAcentral
GUUAAAAAGCUCGUAGUUGGAUUUCGGAGUGGGCCAGAUGGUCCGCCGCAAGGUGUGUUACUGACUGGUUUGCUCUUCUUCGCAAAGACUGCGUGUGCUCUUUGUUGAGUGUGCGUAGAUUUACGACGUUUACUUUGAAAAAAUUAGAGUGUUCAAAGCAGGCUAUUGCUUGAAUACAUGAGCAUGGAAUAAUGGAAUAGGACUUUGGUCCCAUUUUGUUGGUUUCUAGGACCGAAGUAAUGAUUAAGAGGGACAAUUGGGGGCAUCCGUAUUUCGUUGUCAGAGGUGAAAUUCUUGGAUUUACGAAAGACGAACAACUGCGAAAGCACUUGCCAAGAGUGUUUUCAUUAAUCAUGAACGAAAGUUAGAGGAUCGAAGACGAUCAGAUACCGUCCUAGUUCUAACCAUAAACGAUGUCGACUAGGGAUCAGCGGGCGUUAUCGUACGACCCCGUUGG